Molecule: ribosomal RNA, 1551 nt
Filed under: Triticum aestivum (bread wheat)
Lineage: Eukaryota; Viridiplantae; Streptophyta; Magnoliopsida; Poales; Poaceae
Description: partial small subunit ribosomal RNA
Source: RNAcentral
AUGGCACUCUUCUCGUGUCCAGACCUUCUCUUCUCCUUGCUUGUCCUGCUUCUCUCCUUGCUCUGUUUAGUCAAGUUGAGAAGUUCCAAUAUGGCAGCGCUCCCUAGGGAAUGGCCACUGGUUGGCAUGUUCCCUUCCCUCGUGGCUAACCUCCACCGCUUCCAUGACUACAGCACCGCCUUCCUUGCCGCUUCGGGCGGUAGCUUCGUGUUUCGUGGGCCGUCUCUCUCUGGCAUGCGCUUCUUCUUCACCUGCGACCCCGCGAACAUCCGCCACAUCUUCGUCUCCAACUUCACGAACUACCCCAAGGGUGUGGAGUUCGCGGCCAUCUUCGACAUCAUGGGGGACAGCUUCUUCAACGCAGACGGCGAGUCGUGGCGCCGCCAGCGUGAAAAGGUGCAGCACCUCGUGUCCAGCCCACAGCUGCUCACUUACAUGGCCUGGUGCUGCCGUGACAAGGUGGAGGACGGCCUCCUCCCCUUCUUGUCGCGAAGCAGCCACGCAGAAGUUCCGAUUGAUAUUCAAGAACUGUUUACCAGGUUCACAUUCGACAUGACGGCCAGGUCGGUCUUCGGGGUCGACCCUGGUCUCCUGUCAGUAGAUAUGCCACCCCUGACUGUGCCGAACGCCAUGGAAGCCGUCAUGGAUGUAGGCUUCUUCCGGCACACGGUGCCAGCUUCUUGCUGGAGGUUUAUGAAGCGUGUAAAAGUCGGCCCAGAGCGGCAGCUCGCGGCAGCGCAGUUGGAGCUCCGACGAUUCGUUGCCGAGAUGUUGGAGAAAAGGAGAGACGGACCAGUCCACGUGGAUGAAGUGCGAGAAGAAAGGAACGAGGAAAUUGUUUCUUCCUAUCUCCACGACCCAGAGUACAGUGACGAGAACGGAAGACCUAAUGCCUUCCUCUACGCAACCCUGAUCAAUUACAUGUUUGCCGGGCGUGACACGGCCGGCAUGAGCAUGACCUGGUUCUUCUACAACCUCAUCAAACACCCGCAUGUGGUGUCGGCCAUCAGAGUGGAACUAGCACCCAUUGCCAUGCACAAAGCUGCAACCUCCACCGGCAACAACCACAUGGUAAUCUUUGACCCCGAGGAGACGAAACCGCUCGUCUACCUCCAGGCGGCAUUGUUCGAGUCGAUGAGGCUGUACCCGCCGGGUCCGAUCGAGCGCAAGACGGUGAUGGCAGACGAUGUGCUGCCCAGCGGGCACAGGGUGCAGAGGGGUGAAACCAUCCUCAUCGCGCUCUACUCGAUGGGCAGGAUGGAAGGUGUGUGGGGCGAGGACUGCCACGAGUACCGGCCAGAGAGAUGGGUCAAGGAGGACGGCAAGCUGCUGCACGUGCCGUCGUACAAGUUCCUAGCCUUCAACGCCGGGGCAAGAUCAUGUUUGGGCAAGCACAUCUCGGUAGUGCAGAUGAAGAGUGUGAUCGCCGCCAUGGUGUGGAACUUCGAUUUCGAGAUGCUGACACGACACGUUGUAGAGCCCAAGCCGUCCGUCGUGCUCAAAAUGAAGAAUGGGUUGCUGGCUAAGGUCCACAAACGGCGGGUCGAAUAA